This 576-nucleotide long non-coding RNA is filed under the name Apteryx haastii (Great spotted kiwi). Its description in RNAcentral is "lncRNA (ENSAHAG00000016854.1)". The record is from RNAcentral. Lineage: Eukaryota; Metazoa; Chordata; Aves; Apterygiformes; Apterygidae.
AUGUGUUUAUCAUGCUCUUUCCACCUUCAGAUCCGAGCCGGUGGGGGCUGGCCGCAUCCGAAGAGGGAUGAAAAGCCCUACGUGCGCACGCGGGCUGAGCAGCGAUUUUGCAAGGAGGGAAGGGGACCUUGUGUUUUCACUUGUUGCAGAAGCGCAGGUACAAUGCACGUCAGUCAGGCUUGGAAGAUCGCCUGUGGGCCCAAAAGCUGUGAUGUAGCUUGGCUUUGCAGCACCCCUUCUUGGAGACCACAGGCAGCUGUAGCAGAGAAGGGAAUUGAACCUGCACGUUCUCAAAGCCUGGACACAAGCACUAACCACCAGACCAGCUGUGCCCAUCUGACCUAUGCUGCAGAUGACGUUGGUCAACCUUCACUGUUCAGGGGAGGAUCACGAAAUGGAUGGUGCUAUUGGCAGAUGUUUUACUCGUGGCUCUCAGGUUGGUCCAGACAUCUGUAUUGCAGCAACAUCUGUUCUGUACUUUCACAACUCACGGGGAGGGACAGAGUCGUGUUGAACAACGGAGCCCAGCAAGACUCAUUUGGCAUGCCAGGAACAUGUGCAGGAUCCUUGCUUUGA